CCCGCUCAGAAACUCAAAUGAAUUGACGGGGCCCGCACAAGCGGUGGAGUAUGUGGUUUAAUUCGAUGCAACGCGAAGAACCUUACCUGGUCUUGACAUCCCGGAGACCCUUAGGAAACUAGGGGGUGCUUCCAUCUGGAAGAAUCUGGAGACAGGUGCUGCAUGGCUGUCGUCAGCUCGUGUCGUGAGAUGUUGGGUUAAGUCCCGCAACGAGCGCAACCCUUGCCUUUAGUUGCCAGCAGUUCGGCUGGGCACUCUAAAGGGACUGCCGGUGUUAAACCGGAGGAAGGUGGGGAUGACGUCAAGUCCUCAUGGCCUUUAUGACCAGGGCUACACACGUACUACAAUGGCCGAUACAAAGGGCAGCGACACUGCGAGGUGAAGCCAAUCCCGUAAAAUCGGUCUCAGUCCGGAUUGGAGUCUGCAACUCGACUCCAUGAAGUCGGAAUCGCUAGUAAUCGUGGAUCAGCAUGCCACGGUGAAUACGUUCCCGGGCCUU
Molecule: ribosomal RNA, 499 nt
Filed under: uncultured Desulfobulbus sp.
Lineage: Bacteria; Pseudomonadati; Thermodesulfobacteriota; Desulfobulbia; Desulfobulbales; Desulfobulbaceae
Description: bacterial SSU rRNA
Rfam family: Bacterial small subunit ribosomal RNA
Source: RNAcentral